CUUCCUGCAAUCUGUUACCUCCCUCCAGGAUCCAGUAUUUCUGCAUCUUUUCCUUCCUUUAUUUGAUUGUACUCUGUAUCAUCUUCUUCCUGGGGUCAAAGCUUACUAGAAUUAGUCACAGUACCUGCAAGAAGCAGGUAAGUUUCAUACACCUUUCAUUAUGUUGUUCUAGAGCAUGGCUUUGAUAACUGAUGCUGCAAGUGAGACUGUUCCAGCAGCUGUUGCCAACAGUGCCCCUGGGAGACUUGGCCUUAUGUUUAGCUCAUUUGUGCCUCUCUGGUGACUAAGUGUUCUUCUUGACCUGAUUUGGACAGUCUGAUAGUAUUCAGCAGUUUUCUUCAUUUUUGCCUUUGUUGCUAUCAUCUGUCUAUGGUUACAUAAAACAAUGAUACCAUACUGCAAAUUGGCUUUUACUUGAUGGGAUUUCAGAUCUUGCUUGCUGUGUGCAGAAACUUCAGGUCCUUCGGUUUUGUGUUGGAGCUUCACUUGGCGUUCUCGCUCAAAGACUUUCAGAUCAGAUCAAACCCGUACCUGUUCUGAUGGGCAACAGCAUCACUUGGGGAUUUAUUUAAUGCAUCAGUCUCUCUGCAUUGUACUGUUAUCUGUUUCACUGGAUGAUGUUUUAACCUGCUUCAGCAUAGCCAGCAUCAUUUCCUAUCUCUUAGUCUUCGCAAUUGCUUUUUGGACUGGAACUAAUACCAACAUUACUUUUCCAUUGCUUUAUGAGAGCCUGGGGGAGGUCAUAAAGUAUUUCCAUGUUCUGUUAGAUACUAAAAACAAUUGAAUUAAUAUGACAUGUAUCAUGACAAAAUAGUUUAUAUGUUAAACUUCAUCAUGCUGCUGCUUGUAAGAUCUGCCAUCAAUAGCUUAUCAGAGCUCUGGCUGGCGUGAUUUAGCUUUCAUGGGUUGGCAACUGUGACCAUGUAGUUCUCAACCUCACACCUGUAGAGAUUUCUCCCAACUUUUUCCAAAAACUAGGCUGCGAUUUCUCAAGUCUGAAAAGUUUCCUUCUGUGGAUGAUUGAAGACAGACACCUUCACACACCUUGCACAUUUCUCUGCAUGUUUUCAGCUAGGUUUUCAUGCUAAAACUCAAGGCUCCUGGAUCGUUUCUGACAUAGUGGUAUCUCUAGGUGUGAAAUACGCAGCUAUUAAAUCUUGUCAGCUCUUGAAUCUGCCAAAUCUACUAUCACUUAAAGAUUCUCUUAAAGAUUCACAUAUCCACCCACAGUACACCACUUUGAUGAUAUAAGAAAGUAACUUCGUGUGAGAAACUUGUCUUGGGUUCUGGCCAGUGCUGAAGCUCGAAUUACAUACUGUCUGGUGUAACUCAUCUUCACUAGGUUGACUAGAACUGCUCAUCAGAGAUGAAAAUACAAUGCAGUAUAUUAGUAUGACUUGCACUGCAUUUUAUAGUGCCCUGAUGCUUUGGCCUGCUUGGAGUUUCUACCACUGAUAAUAACUUUCCUUAUGACAGAUAUCAGAGCAAUAUAGCCUUAAAAACAGGCAUUACAUUCACUUGGUUGUAGUUAGCAAAGGUUACUUGAGAUUUCUCCUUUACUAAUUUGUGUCAGGUUUGUCUAUCUUCCCAAUGAGUUUCGGGAAAAAUCUCAUUCUGAAAACCAUAGCCAUGAACACUUCUUCUAUUAGAGUGUAACUCCACUCUGACCAUCACAGUUAGAAAAUCCUUUAAUUAAAAGGCAAAAUAAAAUUCUAGAAGUGUAAGAAAUUCAGGAAACACUUUCAGGUUUAUUUAAAACUUUUAUUUUUCCUAUUGCAUAGAAUACAAUUUUGUUUUCUCCUGUUCUUGAUUUUUUUCACUUUUGACCUUUUGAAUUUUUUCUACAUUCUACCAGCAUCACAGUUUUGACCAUCAUUUUAUCUUUCCUUGUCAGUUCACUUUGAUAUUUGGAGGUGUAGAUCUCUUUCUUUCAGCAGCCGCUCCUACAGAGGUUGACAUAACUCACAAAUUACCGUGUUCCUUAUUUUCAAGUUUUUGUCCUUGGUUUUCAACGUGGAUAGCAUAAUGCCAAACUCUGAAGCCCAUCCACUGUCUCUCCUGCUUCUUGGUUACAGUUUCAAAAGAUAAGGCAAAACAGCAACCCAUUUCUCUCUCUGCAGUCUCUCUCAUUAGAACAUUUCUGCAGCUGAUGCAGUGUUCUGAGGAUUCUUCUUAAGACUCUAAAGCCAUUAUUUAUUUUUUUUAAACUUCACCAUCCGAUCUUUAACCUCCAUGGGCAUAUCUGUGUUACAAAGUGAGCUUUUGUUCCUAUAAUUGUGCAGCAUUCUGUUCGGCAGUACCAGUGUUCACAGAAGUCUCAGUCCCUACAUGCCAUUCGUUCUGCUUCUCAUACCUGUUUUGUUUCCCCAUGAAUCACCCUGUCCUCUUUGCAGGUCUUACUAGACUGAAUGGUGCCUAACAGCUAGUAAAGUAGCACAGGACAUUUCCUACUGCCACAGUUUCACUGAAUACUGAUAAAACCAGGACAACUAUUAAAAAAAAAAAAAAAAGGUAUUUUAUUUAAAACGUUGAUUUGCUAUAGCUUCAGUUCAAAUAAGUCAAGCACAAAAGCCUCUGAACACCUUCUUCUUACAUUGCCCUCCAUUAGGCCUUGCUGUCACCUUCACAGAGGCUGCAGUAAGCCCCAGAGCUGGUUGGCUCUGUACCCGUGGGCCAGUGCUGCAGUUUUCUUUAGGCUGGAUAGUCCAGUGAUUCCAGACAUCAGUUCCAUGUUUAUUUCCUGAUCCCAUUAACUGACAUGCAAAUCUUGUCGUACAGUAAUUGCAGUCUAAUUAACAUUUCUUUCCAUCUGUGCUCAGCUAUAGAUUAGACCAUGGGCUCGUUUGCUUAGCCAAGCCUUCAACCUGCCUUGACACUCCCUCUUCCAAGGACAAACUGGUUCCAUGACAGCACUACCACAACAUAGGGGAAAAUUCUGUUUACAUAAAAUGUUUAAAUUCAUUUAAAAUUAAAAUAACAAAGAAAGCAUCUGGGCAUACACAAGGGUAGUCAUUUUGAAGGACAAGAGGUGUAAACAUUAGGAUACAGCUUAGAGGUGCGCUGUGUCACCAAGUCUACCAAACGCAGUUUCUGUAUAAGAGAAUUUUGCCAAGAGCUCUGCAGUGAUUUUGUCAGAUAAAAGAUGGUAAGAUAAAGUCUGUGUAGAUAUUCUUUAAAGAUCAAUGUAAUGCUUCUUAUUUUAGUCUACAGUUGUCAAAAAUUUAUACUGUACCUCAUGCCAAAACGUACACUGUAGUGUUACAAAACACCAUCAUGUUCUAUGUGGCAUGGGUAUUUGUUGAGUAACUUUUCAGAGGAUUGCAGUGUAUAAACUAGAGACUGUUUGUGGAGUUUGGCCGUUAAUCAGGAUUGUAUAUUUGUAAUACUUAGGCAUGCAUGGAGGAAUAAAUACACUGAAAUAGUGAGAGGGAUCUUGAAUUUAAUUUGAUCGUGUUUCAUGGCAUAAUAUCAAACAGCUAGAAGCUCUGGAGUUGGGAGAAGACUCUUGUAGGGAAACUUAAUUGUUUGUGGCUUCAGGUUCCAGAUAAUGACCUGGUCUAGAUUUCAAACGGAUGUAUUAAUUUAUGAAAUACACAGUGUGGAGCACAUUGUUCCAAACUGACAGAGUAAGGACAUGUACUCUGGCAGAACAAACUGUACCACAAGCUGUACCAAAAUGAAGUGUCACACAGUUACUCUAACUUCCCAUGAAGAAAUUCAAGGUGGGAUUUUACACUGAGCUGAAAAUCUCAUUUUAAUAUCUAUUUAAAGUUGUUAACCAGAUUCUAUUGGCAGCUAGAGCUCAAAACACACUAAAAUAAACUGUCCUUCAUUGGUUUCCAGAUGCAGAGCAUUAUACCCAAAAGCAACGGCAAUCCAAAAUUUAAGAAUUCCAAACCUGAUGGGAAGAUUUUUCCCUUGUGAGAACUUGGUAUAGGUACAUACGUAUGUAGCCACAAAGCAACCAUGUGUGUCCAUUUUUAAAGAUGGAGUUUGAUUUCCAAAUACACAAUUGACAAAAUAGCAUAAAUACCUGAAUUCUUUAUCAAGUAGUAAUUUAAAAGUAUACAUUUCUCUCAGGCAUAUGGAUUUUCUUAUAGAUAAAAGAAGAAAAAACUGGAGGGUAAGAAGCAUGGGGUAAAAAAACCCUUGAAUUUAAAUAUUUUAAAUAUAAUAAGAUUGCUUUUGCAGUACCUUAAGGAGGUAGGAUUGAUGGCAACAUAGAUUUGUCCACAUAUUCAUUUAUAGAUGACUUGUCCAGCAUUGUCCUCAUUACCAAGCAAAUAUGCUACAUUUGCACAUUCACGUUAAUUAUUUUCUGCUCUGUUCUGCUGGACUAAACUCAACUCUGUAGAUUAGUUCAAAUGUAUUGUAGGUUACUCAUUAAAAAACCAAUACUAUAGACUUGAUUUAAAGUACAUUUCAGUGCAGAGAUUUUAUAAAUAACUAUUGCUUAAUUCAACGAUGUGGGGAAAGUUUACGUUAUAUGCAUAGACAUUUUUACACAGAUUCUGUGGAAGCACACCAAUAAGGAAGUCAUUGUCAUCAGUGUCAUAGAUUGUUAAAUGCAGUAGCAUAAGGGAACAAACAUGAAUUAAAUAAUUAAAAACCCUCUUAAGGUAUAAAUUAAAUAAUUAAAGACCAUCAUAAGUUAUUGCAAUAAAUCAAUGCAAUUAAAAUCACAAGCAAUGCAGGCAGGCCAGAUGCCAAAGAUCCUGCAGCGUCUCUUUGGCUGCAUUUCAAAUCUGUGUCAUGAGUCCAAAAACACAGACAAAAGUACAGUGAACAAGAGGAAAGUAUCUGGUCUUCUCUUCUGCAGUGACUUUGCUUUGCUCACUUGCUAUAGCAGACUCACUUAGCAUGUCACCUUACUGAUAACUGUGAUCUUUUCCCAGGUGAUAUUGGCCUGUGGCUGGCUCACUGGCCACCUGUCAUAUCUUUCCCUUAUAGACUGUGAAAAAAUUAUUCUUUAUGUAUAAUGUUACUAUACAUUUAAUGCUCUUAAACUCUCCUCACAUAUUUUCUAAGCCUUUUGUCUUUCUGUAUAGUAUAAAUGUAGCUUUUGGCUCUUCCCUUCCCACUUUCAUCCUGUGUCUUUUUGAAAAGCCUCCUCCAUAUGUUCAUUUGGUCUAUUCACUCCACACUGUGAGCACAAAGAGCACACUGAAUACCACAAAAGAAGUUGUGAAAAUUAAGUCAGCUAGUAUACUGAUUUGUACUAAGUUGUGCAAACUGGUACAGACCUAUCUAUGUGCUUGUAAUUUACUUCAAGUUCCACAGUGCUCUGAAAGAGGAAUGCAAUUUUCCCAAAAUUGUAUGACCUUCCCAGAAACAGUUUAUGCAUGUGAAUGACACUGUUGAUUUUGUUCUUGUGGGUUUCUGUUGUUUUUUAUUGGUUUUGUUAGUCUCUGUUUGCAAGUAAAUAAAGCUGCAAGGUUUGUCUUGAUUUUGUAUCUACACUCAACACGGGAUGGUCUCUUGUCAGUUUCUUUUUAAAAAUUGAUUGCUUUCAAGUUUUUUGCGUUUCUUCCUUUAUAAAUACCUAUGAGAUCUCAUCUAGACAAUAUGUUCAGCCUCUACCCUGAAGCCAGAAGUCCUUUAUCUAUCGUUUCUGAGGAGUAAGGGGAAGAAGACUGAACAUUAAUUUUCCAGAAAUCCAAACUCUGUACGUGGCAGUGCCUCCUCCAGCAUAUAUCUCAUGAGCAGCACUGCCUGGCUGUGGAGAGGUGAAAAAAGGUUCUGUACAUUCUGCACUGCUUCACAUUACACCUCACAAGAGGCAGUCCAAUGCAGAAUGGAGACUCAUUUUUCUUUUCUUUGUCAUUCCAUAAAAUGUAUUCCUAGGAAUGUAUGAGAUUGUGGGUAAGACUAAUCAUGGCAUGCAAGAAAAGGCAAUGGUGUUUGUAAUGUUACUUGUUUUCCUCCAUCCCACAAACCAAAAUACUGCAGACAAGUGCUUUAGCUCCACCUAGGAGGCAAAAAGACUAUUGCUGCAUCUACCUAAAAUCAAAUUCCACUGACAUUUUUCUCAGCUUUUAACUGCAUUUUAGAGGCUCUAACAAAUUAAUUUUGCUAUGUAUCUCCAAGUCAGACUGACAUUUUCUAUCUAAGUGGAUGACAUUCUGCAAGGCAGAGAGCCUUGCAGCAGGGGUUUGCCCAGCACAGGGGCAGCCAAGUUUACUCCAUAAAUAGCUCAGUUAAGAUGAAUUGAGUUAAUAGAAAAUAAAACAUUAUUUGGAUGGAAUGAAUUCAUUUCAGAAAAGGGAGAAAUUACUUCUAAUUGCAUUAUUGAAAAGAGACAUUCAGGUGGAAAAAGUGAGAAAAACCUGAGAAGUAAAAUUGGCACUGAAUGGUUCCUUCAAGGUCACACAAAGUCACGUAACAGGAAGGAGUCAGCUCCCAAAACACCUUCCACCAUUUCACCCAGCAGGCAACCCACUCCUUUCCAGUAAAUGGGAGUCUGCUGUGCCAAAUCCUGGGGUGAAGAAAAGCCUAGAGCAAAUUCUGUCCUACAAAGAGACCAGAUUUUCCAUUUCUAUUAAGUUCAUUUUAUCUUUGUACUGCUGGGAUCCCAACAGAUGCACAUGUGCAUGCAAAGCCCAGCACACUUCUCUUUGACAUUUGCACCAGACUGAUGCUGGGUUGCUAUUUUACAAAGGAGUGGUAGGAUUUUACCUGUCUACUGUAGUCGUCAUUUGGGAACAGAAAUAUCUUCUACCCAUCAAUAUGCUGUUUUCACUCUUUGCAAGACCAUUUAUCAAUUUAGUCAUUGUAUCUCCUGUCACUGUAUGGCUUUACUGCUUGCUUCAUCAUACGCAAUUUCUACCUGCAAAUAUUGUCUGUUCCUUAUGCAACUAACAGGCUGUUCAUCUUCCAUCCCUUUUUCUACUUAGCAAACUCUUCAUUUUGUACCUUUUUUCUAAGCCUUAAAAAAGACCAUAGCCUAUCUCCAACCCCUUUCAUACACUGGUUAGCUAAUUCAAAUUACAGAAUGUUUUUCUGCAAGCCUAGGAAUGUGUCUGCAGUUUUCCAUUGUCUUAAUAAAAUGUAAUACAUGACUUCUGGCAUUAAACUCAGACAGAGGCAGAAACAAGGCUGUUACCAUCUGCUGCCUAGGGCUUUUCUCGUAGCUGUUCAGUUAAGCCUACUGCAUUCUUAUUUUUCAUAUUAUUCCUUCUGUACACACAAAGUCAAAGGUAUCUCCCAAAUUUAGAAGGUUGUUACGGACCUACCCAAUUUUAAGAAUUUGUUGUCUCUAUUUUUCCUUUUCUUAUGGUUAUAGUUAUACUCUAAGAAUCCCAUUGCCCUGAAAUCACAGUGUUUUUGGAGCUCUGAAGAAUCUUUACUGGUGUUUUUUUUUUUUUUUUACAUCAUGCAACAUGGGUUUGUUAACAUGCAACUGCAGUACACUUCCACUGCACCAGAGUACUUUCAGUAUUUUCACUCUGCUACCAUUUUCUUCACUAAAUGUGAUGGAACUUUUUAUGACUAGCAAAGAUAUCAGUGCCACCAGAAGUGACCUCUCAAUUUCUGAUCUCCGUUUCAUGACCAUUCCCAGGCUCCAUGUCAUUACUAUACUUUGAUAACAGCUUAUUUUCACCACAGUGUAGAAAGAACAUGCAAGAAAGUUAAAUGUCACGCAUGACUAAAAGCAACAUUUGAAUGUAAGUAAUAACAACACUAAGCCAGAAUAAUUGCACCGCUUUCCUUUAAGCUUUUCCAAAUUUUACAACACAGCUUAGAUAACAGUAUAAGCAUAAAUACCACCUGGGGAGAAAAAGUACAUUGGAUAAUGGAGCUUUGAUGUCAUUCUUAUACAUAAAAUUCAGAAGAUAAAAUAUGAUUAAAAAUAUGCAUUUGGGAAACAACAAUUGCAAUUAUAAGAAAUUACCUUCUAGAUUCUAUGGUUGCUCUGAAAGCAAUGUAUUUAGGACACAAUUGACAGUACCUAUGCACUGCCUGAAUACAUAGGUUGCUCCAAAAGUAAUGCCUCCUAUUUAUUUCCGUGGGAACUACGAUAGUUACAAAGAGCACAAUAACAAUAUUUGAGAGAGCGAAUUAUCAGUUACAAAACACUAUUUUUCAACACAGUCACCACCAUUAGUUAUAUAGUCCUGCCAGCAAUGACCAAGAGCCUGCAAUGUGCAUUCAUCAAACCCUGCUCCUGUGGAGGUGACACACUAUCAUUGUUGCCACUGGUGCAAUGCACCACCCACUGUCUCACUUUGCUCACAUCCUCUGUUUGGUCUCCAUACAUUUUCUGCAAGUAUCAAUGAAUAUCAAUGGUUGCCACAAAUUUGUUUCAUAUGUAUGUCCAUGUCAAACAUUAUCCUGCCAGACUGCCCCUCUGCUUCCAUCUGUCAUACAGCAACAAAAUGUAAUGGAAAUUGGUGAGAAGGUUCAACCCUUACUGCCAUAUCACCAACAUCCACCUCUGAUGUCAUGGGCCAACAUAACAAAAUAGUAGGCAUUACUUUUGGAGCAGCCAUAGCAAAAUACAGGUGAUUCCUUUAGGGCUCAGCACUACACAAACUCCACUGUGCUGUGGAGUUUGAAAGUUAAAAGAUGUUGUAGGGCUUAGAUCAAAACUCUGUUCUAAACUCUCUUCAUGGGACUUACUCAAUCGAUAUGUCUGCAGGCUAAACUCUUAAUUCCAAAACAUAUACGAAUAACAUUUUAUUAUCACUGUUUUUUAAAAAGAACCCUUCAUCUUUGCAGAAUGAAAGAACCCUGCUAAAAUACAUGGUUAAGCUUUGUUUUCAAUCACCGUCAUGCAAACUCUGUAUGCCUCCAUACCUUUCCAUACAGUCUUCUCACUGUAACCCUUAAAGGUUAUAUCCAUGUUUGUACACUAAGAUCUCUUUACAGCAAUUUCUAACAAAUUUUAGAAAUUCUGCUCUGGUACAGUGCUUAUUACAGAAUAUGCAGCUGGAAAGGAGGUAAGAAGUGUUAAACUCUCUUGGUUUACAUAACAGAUAUUUGAUUUCUCCAUGAAAGGUGGUAACUAGGGCCGUUACUUUAAGAUCUCCAGCCCACCAAUAUCUAGAGAAUGAAAAUGGCUUGUUAUUAAAAAUGUGACUGUGUAAGUUUGUUGUCUACCAUAUUUUUCUUGUUAAAAAUACAAUAAUUUUUGUUGUUUCUGUCUUAUUUGCUGUCGAGGUUGACAUUUUUAGUGAUUCUAUGCACUCUUAGGAUCAGCAUCUUUACAAAUUCAGGUACACAAGAGAAUAAGACGCUUUUAUAUUUUGAAUAAAUAUCCUCACUAUUGCCAUUUAAUCAGGACAUUAGACCUACAUAUACCAACACAGCUCUCAAAAUUUUCUGCAAAGGUCAGAGUCAUGGAAAUGUAGGCCAAACGAAAUAUUGUAGCCAGAUUAAUCCUAUGGUUAAAUAUAUGCAAAGUUAAAUAGUAAAAGAUUGAGAGCUGUUAAUUGGUAUGUAGUGACAUUUUUUUCUUAGUCAGAUAUGCAGUCUUUCAAACUUUCAGAUUUUCAUUUCCAAAGAAACAUUCUUUGAUUUACAAUGUUUUCUCUAAAAAAAAGCAUGAUGUAACCAGCACGGAUAUCAAACUGAUAAGCAGAAAUAUUGAGAAUGGGCAGAUCAUAAUAAGAUCAAGGGCACAGGACUUGUUACUGGGAAGUCACUUUUCUGAUGAUGCCGUGACCUUUAAAUUCAUGCAGUAGGAGCUCAUGUCUAACUCUCUCUAUGUUCCAAAUUAUCCAGACCAGUAGAAAAGAAUUACCAAGCAAAAAAGAGUUUUUCAAUGGGCCACAGUAAUUUUAAAAUCUUAUAUCUGUUAUAUUUACACAAAAUCAUUUUAUCGUGGAACAUUUGCAUAAAUGUAUAUUUUGUCAUCUGAGAUUUUCUGCACUUGUUAGAAUGAAAUAACUGUACAGGAUACAUUUCUGUUGUUGUUUGACUCAGUGCGUGCUAAAGUUUAGCUUUCUCCACCAUAUGACUGAACAUUUUAUUCAAAAUGCUAAGCAAAAUAUUUGAGAGACAAGUUCUAUACAAAGAGAUGUUGAGGAGGCUCCGCAGAUGUUUAAAUAAUGGAUCUUUCCCAAAAUACAAUCUUUUUCACUUAGUUGCAUGCAAUCAUGAUUUCCAUGAUCUCUUUGUUUUUCUUGCCAUGAAAGAUCCCGGGAUAUUUUUUCAUAGGGAAAGGCAGCUGAAACCAAUUUCAGGGAUCAUCAAUAUUCAUGCAAGCAUUAAAGAGGGCUGCUUCCAUAAGAACAUAUUUUGUUAAAGUUCUCGUUUCCAUUUUCUUAUCCUUGCUGGGCCAUAUUCUCUCUCCUCUGUGGUAGCUACAGUGGAAAAUUAAAAGCAAGAGUUGUGUUUGCUCUUCACCUUCUGCUACUUAUUAGGGAUCAGCUAUCUGAACACUGAAAAGGGAGUCAGAAGCCUGUUAGCAAUUUUCAACGUGAAGAGAAUACAGAUAGGGAGAAGGGAAAGUGCGGCCGCAGCAGUCCAUCUGGCUCUGCAUUGUGUUGUCCCCAAUGGCCACUGGGGAGUGCCCAGGCUACAAAGACGAGUACGUCCUUCCCCAGGAUGCUCUCCACAACACUUCACUACUCUGUAACUCAAGCGUUUCUUAUUAAGUAAGUGGUGAAUUUGUAUUUAAUAAAGCCUUGGUGAAAUCUCAGUGAAUCUUUCAUGCAGUUAUCCAGUCACACUUCUGACCUAUAUAAAAUUUAGUGUUCACACCCUUCCAUCAUGUGCACACAGGAAAUUUGUAUCUUACAUCUGCAUUGUUAAGAAUUACAUUCCUUUCUUCUUUCUUUUUUUUAACUUAUAGAUUUACUUGAUUUUCCUUAUUCUUUUGAUGGAAGUCACACUGAGCAAUAUUUAAUCUCUCAUUGAGAGUUGGGUUGCUCCAAGUUAUGCCCCUUCUGUUGCCAUUCUUUUUGGCUCCUAAGGCCUGGUCAGGAGCACCCUGAAUAAGACAAAGCCAGGGAAACAUGGAUGAGGAGGUACAUCACUAGAGUUGUAGGAGGGCAUAAAUUUCCUAAUUCGCAAGGAGUUAAAGGGAUGGGAGGUAAGAUGCAGCUUGCCUCUCUUGCAGCUGGUAGUUCAGGACAGAUGAUAAGAAAAGGGAAGCUCCCCCAUUUUGCAAGAGCAGUUUCCCAUUAAAAACUCUUUCUAUGCUGUGGGCUGGUAGUAUUUCCCAGCUGCUGCUUUCAUAUAAUAAUGGUUUUUAUCUUUGAAAGAUGCUCUUUAUAUUAUUAGUACCCAUAGCUCUCAUCUUGAUUUUCUCUUUUUACUCUUCUUUAUUUGCUUCAACUAACAAGCUAUCUAGUCAAGAACUAAUCUCUAAAAUCAGUGCUUGCUUGUAUCUCAGUUGUAUGUUUUCUGUGCUCUGAAAAUUGACAGCUUUAAGGAUACUCUGGUGUACUGGAUCCGUAUUACCUGCAGCAAAAUAUUUCACCACUUCUAAAAAUUAACUUAAAAUCCUCUGAUCCCAAGAGGUAAACAAUAGCAAUAUUUUUCCUGGUUAGAAUUCUACGACGAAUGUUAAUUAUUAAUCUAAUAAUUAAUUGAUGCUGAUUGCACACUGAUCUGAACAUAUGUAACUUACUUUUCAAGUGAUAACAUCAGAUUUAAUAAACAAAAUCUUGUGAAUUAUUUUAAGAGUUUAAGAAGAAAUUUAUAUCUGAAGAAUGUUAUCAUUUUCCACUCUUCAUGCAAAAGUUUCCAGCUCUUUUCAAUGAAAAAAAUGUGUUUUUUUUUUUUUUUAAGGUGAUGUAGCAGAAGAGCAAAGAAUAUGACCUGAAUUUUUUACGUUCACUGUGUUACUUUGGCACAUAGCCAUUAGCAAAGCAGAGGUGAAGGUGACCAUGCUUCUAUCUCUAUAGCUGAAGUGGGAAUGAAAAGUUUCCAUAGUUCAUGGGCAGAGUGUAAUUUGCCCUCAUAAAAGAAAGGUUUUACAACAGACUUAGCUAAAUUAGGGUCAGGAAAUACAGAGACUGGACAAGUUUUACAAUUUUUAAUUAAAUUUUCCAUCAUAUAAUUGUGUAAAAUGCCAAAAAACAAACUUGUUUCUCAAACUGAUUACAUUAUUUCUAAAGUUUCUGGUUACUCAGUCACGAACCAUUCUCCACAUUCAACAUGUGAAAGAGCUAUGCUAUUUUCUCCAAAGUAUCUGACUAUAGUUUCUCAGUACUAAGUACAAUUUCCAUAUAUUUCUCUGAAUUUAAAAAAGAGAAAAUUUAAAAAUGAUAAGUAUAUAGCAAGAUAGGAAUUUGGAAAUAUAUAUUCUUGACAGACUUUUGAUAUUAUUUAAGUGUCGCUGUCCUAAUUGAAAUCGCAUCUCAAACAUUUAUAAUAAAACCUACUGUGAAUAAACAGUCCUAAUCCAGCUGCAGAUAACUAGAUAUUACCAUGGAUGUAUUGGUCACUGAUAAAAAAAUGGAAAUCUAUUUUCUUCUUCUACAAUUUUAGGUUCUUCUCCUUAAUUAAGAACAGCAACUGGUAAUCAUCACUUCUGUUGAUAACCUCAGGGCAGACUGGGUCAGAUACCUGUCUAGCUUUGUUAACAGCCAUGUAUCAAGAGCCACAGUGGAUACUGAUUUCUGUAUUUCUGUGCAGAUGUUUUGCUCAUGUUUUCCAGACCACUGCAGUUUACCUCCUCCCAUGCACAGUCGGUUAAAAGCAUCAUUUCUCCUUUAAGCUGACCAGCUGGGCUCGGCUCCCACAUCUCCUUGGCUAGAUCCUGCUUGGAGGUGGCCUGGCUUCAACUUCUAGCAGCUGCGCUCUCUCAUGCUCUCAUCUGUCGGUCUGAAAAACUUCUCUAUUUUCCCACAUGGAGCCUUCUCAGAGUCCGUAUAUUCUAUACUAGAAAAUUAAGUAGGCAUGAGACCCUGACUUUCUAAACUACAUAAUUGUUACAACAGUACCUGGCAGUCUUGACCAGCCAACACUGUCAAGCAAAUCCUGAGCACAGUCCAGGAUCUGUUCCUGAGGGACAGUUGAAUGGAAUGGCACUCUUCAGAGGUCUUAGACUUUGAAUUAAUAAUAUGGAUGUGACCAGUAAUGUCUUAUUGACCUUUCAAUGACAAAAAUGUUUAGUUUUCUAGUUUAAAGAUAUGUUGUGCUUUUUUUUAAAUUAAAUUUGUAUAUUAAAAACUGGAGUUUAAAAUUAAAAUAAAUAUUUGUAAAUUAAUUUGAAAAUUAAAUUUUGUGAAUUAUAUUUUUUAAAUUAGAUGACAUCGUUCAAGCUGUGUGACUUGUAAAAUAUCACUGGCUCUAAGUGUAGGCUCAGCUAAUAGUCCCAGGCUGUGACAGAAGUUCACAUAGGAUAUUAUGAAGAAUUUCUUCAUAGAGUGGGUGGUCCAGCAUUGGAACAGGUUGCCCAAGGAAAUGAUAGAGUCCUCAUUCUUGGAGGUGUUGAAGAGAUGUGGCACUGAGGUACAUGGUUUAGUGAUGGGACUCAGUAGGUCAGGUUGAUGGUCAGAUAGACUUGAUGAACUUGAAGAUCUUUUCUGGUCUAAAUGAUUCUAUGAUUCUGUGAAGUUUCUCUUUUUUCACUGAAGUCCCAUAUGCAACUAAAAACAUAUAUUGUUGCCAUAUACUUUCUUUCUUUGUAUUUAUUUCAAGUUUUUCAUGGCUAUCUUAGUGUACUUCAUAGCUGAUAUAUUUAACAGAAACUAUAGAAAAUAUUUUGGAGUGUGCGUGUGUGUGAGUGUGUUUGUGAGUAAAUGUCAUCAAAUGGGAAGAGAACAGAAACUGAAAAAAAGUAUAAUGUUCUUUUGUUGGUAUUUCUCCAAAUUUGAUUGGUGAAGGAAGAAAGAAUGGCAAUUUCUCAACAGAUUAAUUUGUGGUCAAUGGGAAUGCAAUUGCCAACAGUGCUUCCACACAAGACCAACAUAAUUUUAAGUGCUAUAGUAGUCAUAUGGUUUGAUGUUGUUCAUGAAAGGAAAAUAACAAUUUUGUUGACCACAGCACUCAACAAACCUUGACUGAAAAGCACACCUUUGUGGGUCUUUUUAAUUUUUCCUUUUUCUGUGAAUUCAACACAAUGUAUAGAGUAACAGCCUCAGGUUACCUUCACAAUGGCCUUUUUGACUCAACAAUCAAGAUUAUAAAAUAAGUUUAAAAUAUGAUCAUCCAACUUGUUUUCAUCCUUUCUUGCCAAACAAUACUUCCCUCCUUAUCAAGGCCAAUAAAAAUGAUGAUUGGAGUGACAUUUGCUUUAUUUCAGUCCUCAGGAUCUUCUUCUGAUAGCCGUCACCUUUUAAAGAUAAUCAAGAGUGGUGUCACAAUGACAUUGGCUGGCUUCCAAGCACUCAUGGAUGCAUCACAACAGGCCCCAGAGAAUGUAUAUGUCUUCUGUGUUUAAAUAUUCACUAACACGAUCUUCCUCUUCCAAGGGUAAAUCUUCCUUUAUUCCUAUUUCUGAAUUGGUCCUAAGGGGCCUAGGAUUCUGAAAGUCCAGUCUUACCAGCAGAGACAUACACAUUCAGUAUUCCUGCUUAGAUUCAGCUAGACAGUUUCAUAUACUUUCAAGCUUGACCUUCUGGAGUGCGAAGAACUGUCAGCUCCAGAAAUUUUAAACUAUAUUUUAAAUACUUAUUUGUUCUCUAAUUCUGCAUAGAACUUUCCUGAAAGUUUUGAUAUUCCUGACAUUGCUCUCAAUUAAAUAUCUCACAAGCUUCCAGUAUCCAGGUGCUUUGCAACCCAUCCUAAAGUGCUGAAGAGUUAUGCUGACAAAAUACAAGCCAUCAGAGAACAUAUUUACACACACACACUUCCUCUCUUUACUUUUCAUAGAACAGCUCUUGCAUAUAAAAAGAAGUGUAUUCUGAGUACCUGUACAUCUAAAAUUCAUGAUAAAUUAUAGGAUUUUUUAAAGAAACAAGUAAUGAAAAGACAGAUAUGAUUAAUGUAUUUAUUCCAAAAUAAUUCUCAAAGGUCUUUUUCAAGAUUUGUUCCACCAGUUCAUUCCACACCAGUAGGCUGCAUUUGCAGAAGAAUAUAGGUUGGAGGUAUCUGCCAUAUUCUGUACACCUCCACUUACUUGGGUUGUGUUUGGGAUAAAACAGCUACAGAGAAAAUCUAGAAUGUGUUCUAAAUGCAGUGUCCGUGGGACUUCCUGUUCCAUUUUUUUUUAGCAUAAUUAAGUAGCCAGGGACACUAAGAAAGGCAAUCAUCCUGACACCUAGAAUUUUUUUUUUCUGAUUGGUUUGCUGUGUCUGGACAACUGGAAACUAGUUUUCUUAAAGCAAGUUAGAAGCAAGAAGUUAAGAAAAUCGAUUAUGCUCCUAUGGAUCAAUUAACCUAUGUGAUAAUCUAUUGCAACAAAUUAUUGGUAAAACCAGAAACAAGAGUGAAUGAAUGUUACAAAAUCUAGAAAUAUUCCUUUUUCUUUUCUGUUUUGCUGGUAAUUUGUUACUAUAGCUCCACAGUGUACAUUACAUUGAGGGACUAUUUACUUUUGAUUAAACAAGCGUUUUUGAACUUUAGUCCAACAUGAUCUUAAUUUAAGGUUGACAUUUCCAUUUUCCAUAAAACCUUUUCAUAAUUAGAUCUAUUGUAGAAAUAAUUACUUUUUCUUUGUUACUUACAUACAUGAUACCAUAUAAUUAUUUCUAAAAAUAAAAAUUAUGUGGACUGAUGUUUUUUGGAAAGGUUAAGGACUUUAUUCCAAAAGUAAUUUUGAAAGCAUAUAAUUUAUUGAGUACCUUAAUAUUCAUUCUUAUUUCUCAGAUGACUUCCAAACGGGAGAGCAAUUAUUUCUCAGAGAUUAAUAGAAUAUUUAAUGGUCAAAAUUUUGCCUUACUGAGUUGACUGUAGUUAUAGGGAAGGGAUAUUAGGAGUGUCUGCUUCAUCCAGGACGCUCCCAGGACUCCUCCUGCCCAGCUGUAAGAGCUGUUGCUACUUUUCCAUUUGCUGGUUCAACCAGUAGUAAAGCUGAACACCUACCAGAGACACACAGGGCACUUACAGGACAGGGACACAGACAGUUACACAGACCAGGUGCUGCCUUCAGCAGCAAGUGCUGUUGAUAGUAUUCUCAGGCAAAAGCCCUCCUGCUCUGGUGCUGACAGAGGCAGGAGGUCACUGGUGCAGACACACACACAAUAUUCUCUAGACUCACAAGCACAUGCAACCCCUUGAAUACUGGCAUGGUAUCUCUGUAUGCUCAGUGCUCCCAGCCAGACCUCAGACACUCUUAUUAACCCCACAGGUCUCGUACUUGCCAGCUGAUCCAGCUCAGUUCUUGCUGAAGACACAUGCAUUCACACUCUCAACCCACAGGCAUCGCAUACCUGCAGGGUAUGGGAUGCCCCCAAAAUGCCAGCAUGGACUCUGCAUCCACCUGGUACCCAGACCCAAACACACAAAAUAGAGAGUGAGGUAGCUAAGGAAGGAGUUAAUAAGAAGACAGGACAAACUUCGGUGCUUAGAAGCAGUGCUCAGUCAGACAAUUGUACUGACUGGCCCCAUUUUACACAGAACUUGCUCUUUUAUACCCAUUUCUCUCUCUUCCCUCCUUCCCUCAUCCCUUCUUCCCCUUCCCCUGGGAAUUUCCUCAUUAGUUUGCAUAUUUCUGUCUCCAUUACCAACUGGCUCCAUCACUCUCAACACUCAGGACUGCCAAGACCAGAUUGCUUGCAGAUUAUUGAUAUUCCAGUAACUGCUGUGGCUGAUGAGGUUUGUUUCUUGUCUUUGCCUCUGUUAUGUCUGUCUGCCAGGUUUGUGUCCCUGUGUUCUUGUUUAGAGCUUCCUACUUUUCUUAUUAUCCCAUUUUGUAAUUGAAAAAGUCCUUGACCAUAUACCCCUAGAGGAGCAGAUGCUCUCUCCUUCCACACAGACCUGUUGCAAUGAAUUGGCUGGAUAAUGUGUCUUUUCCUAGCAAGCCUCAAAAGGAAAGAGUCCAGAACAGUGAGCUGGAGUUUAACUCUACUGCAAGGUCCUCCAGACUUUCUAGAGCUGGGAUUACUUCAGAUGGCAAUUAUGUAGUUCGCAGUUUGAAAAAUAAUUACACCUGAAUGUGAAAAGUGUAGAUUUGGGAUGAUACAGAUACUGUUCAGAAUACGGAUAUUGUUCUGCUUAUGUAAAAUAUGUAAACAAGAAGUACGUUCCUCACAUAUGGGAGACAAAUAUGCCAUUUGUAUGUAUCUAUUGGUCAUAAACGAUAAUAAAGAUCUUUUAAAUUAA
This is a long non-coding RNA of Numida meleagris (helmeted guineafowl), 17157 nucleotides long. RefSeq lists it as uncharacterized. The transcript has 4 exons. NCBI's taxonomy places the organism in Eukaryota, Metazoa, Chordata, Aves, Galliformes, Numididae. The record is from RefSeq and is a predicted model, not a curated record.